AGAUAGAGGCGCAAGAGUUAAGAAAUCUCAUCUAAUGGAUGCAACCAGGAGAGAUGGAGGAGCAAUUGCCGAAGGUAUAAUAGUUUGCAUAUUAUUAUGUCCUGGGGGUAUAGAGAAAAUCUAUGCCACUGUCACUUAACACAUAGUUAAGUGGUGUGCUAUUGC
Molecule: non-coding RNA, 165 nt
Filed under: fish gut metagenome
Description: Lysine riboswitch
Rfam family: Lysine riboswitch aptamer
About the family: Riboswitches are metabolite binding domains within certain messenger RNAs that serve as precision sensors for their corresponding targets. Allosteric rearrangement of mRNA structure is mediated by ligand binding, and this results in modulation of gene expression.
Source: RNAcentral